Molecule: long non-coding RNA, 1096 nt
Organism: Chlorocebus sabaeus (green monkey)
Lineage: Eukaryota; Metazoa; Chordata; Mammalia; Primates; Cercopithecidae
Source: RefSeq, a predicted model, not a curated record
GUACGCUUGCGCGGCUCCAAGGGGAGGGGGCCGCUAGAGGUGAACUCCAAGGAAUCAUCCAGGUCCGGUCUGCGGGUGCUCGCCUUAAUACUGCUCUCUGAGCGUCAGCUACUUGUGUUCUGGGCACUGAGCUAGACCCUCACGUACAAUAUUUCAGUUAACCCUUAAUCCUGAGAGAUAACCUAUGAGUGGAAUUCCCGAGUCAUAUGCUAAGAUGAUGUUGAACUUAUUAAGACACUGCCAAGCUGUUUUUCCAAAGUGACUUCAUCAAUUUACAUUCCCACAAGCAAUGCAGGAGAGCUCCACUUUUUCCACAUCCUCUCCAACACUUGUUAUUGUCUUUUUUUAUUAUAACUAUUCUUAUGGGUGUGCAUCAUGGUUUUACUUUGCAUUUCCCUAAUGAUUAGCGAUGAACAUCUUUUCAUGUACCUGUUUUCUGUUUGUAUAGCCUCUUUGAUGAAAUGUCUACCCAAAUCUUUAGCCCCAUUUUAAAAUAAAGCUCUUUUUGAGAUACUUGUAGAUUCAUGUGUAGAUGUAAAAAAUAAUACAGAGAGAUCCUGUUUACACUUUACUUACUAUCCCCCAAUAGCAACAUCUUGCAUAACUAUUAUUAUGCAGAUUUAACAACCACAAAAUUGACAUUGAUACAAUCCGUCUGUUUUAUUCAGAUUUUCCAUCAUAGAUAUACUCAUUUGUGUCUCUGUGUGUCCAUUUAGUUCUGUGCAAUUUUAUCAGAGGUAUAGGUUCUUAUGACCAUCACUACAGUCAAGAUACAGAAUAAUUACAUCACCAUAAAGAUCUCUCCUGUUAUAUUUUCAUGAUACUUCUUAUACUACUCCUUACAUUAUGUAAACUGUGUCAUACUAUAUGUAAUUUUGGGGGCUUAGAUUUUUUUCUCUCAACAUACUUAUACCGAGAAUCACCCAGGUUAUUGUGUGUAUCAGUGGUUAUUUGUAUUGCUGUGUAAUACUCCACAGUAUAGAUUUACCAGUUUGUUUAGCUAUUCACCCACUGAAAGGCAUGUGGUGUUCUCACGUUUCAGAUGUUAUGAAUAAACUGCUAUUAAAAAAAUUGUGUACAGCUUUUUUGUCCUUUA